AGUGGCGGACGGGUGAGUAACACGUGACCAAACAACCUCGAAGUUGGGAAUAGCUCUGCGAAAGUAGGGGUAAUACCGAAUGUGGCCCAGGGCGGGCAUCCGCCUUGGUCUAAAGAUUCAUCGCUUCGAGACGGGGUCGCGGCCUAUUAGCUUGUUGGUGGGGUAACGGCCCACCAAGGCGAUGAUGGGUAGCUGGUCUGAGAGGACGACCAGCCACACUGGGACUGAGACACGGCCCAGACUCCUACGGGAGGCAGCAGUGAGGAAUCUUCCGCAAUGGGCGAAAGCCUGACGGAGCAACGCCGCGUGUGGGAUGAAGACUCUAGGGUUGUAAACCACUGUCGGAGGGGACGAUCGUGACGGUACCCUCCAAGAAAGCCCCGGCUAACUACGUGCCAGCAGCCGCGGUAAUACGUAGGGGGCGAGCGUUAUCCGGAUUUACUGGGCGUAAAGCGCGUUAAGGCGGAUGGCAAAGUUGGGGGUGAAAUUUCGGGGCUCAACCCCGAAACUGCCGCCAA
Molecule: ribosomal RNA, 518 nt
Filed under: uncultured bacterium
Lineage: Bacteria
Description: bacterial SSU rRNA
Rfam family: Bacterial small subunit ribosomal RNA
Source: RNAcentral